RNAcentral lists this long non-coding RNA (1869 nucleotides) under Marmota monax (woodchuck). The record is from RNAcentral. Lineage: Eukaryota; Metazoa; Chordata; Mammalia; Rodentia; Sciuridae.
CUCUUUCUCCCUCUCCCUCUCUCUCCCUCUCCCUCUCCCUCCCCCCCUCUCUCUGGGGACCCUUUCUAAUCUGCCCCCUGUGCACUCCUCUUUCCCCCAGGUUGAGGUCACUCCUGGUGUUUUUUUCCUGGUGCGCUUCCCCUGUAAGGAGGGAGGGCCGAAGGGCUCUAGGGGCCACCUCUUUGCUGGCUACUGUGAGAAUCCUGCUUUGGGGUUCUCCUGAGGCUCCAGCACGGAACCCAGAGGAGGCCCUGGAAGGUGGGCAGGCAACUCAGGAGCCCCAGGGAUCUGCAGGGAGCAGCGAGGGAGUCAGCCACCCAGGACCUCCUCUGGGUCUUCCUGACACCAAAGGGGUGAGUGGAAGGCACCUGUGCGCCCCUUUGCCGGUUGUCGGUGGUGUGUGGGUCCAACGAGAUGCUGCCCGACUCUGGGAUGAGCCAGGCACUUGGACGGUGGGGAUCCUCCCUCAGUCCCCUGGGGUGCUUCUGAGGUCAUGCUCGGGUGCCCUGCCAUCAAACCUCCCCAUGAAAGUUGUGUUGUUACUUUUCUGAUCUGGGCCUCAGGAUCUUUAGCUGUAAAACCAGAUCCAUGAGACCCGGACGAGGACAUCUCAAAGCCUGACAGAGACCCAGCUAUUGCCAUCGUUUGUGGGGGACACAGACGUAGAGAAGUAUAGGGGAAAUCACUCAUUUAGCUAAGAAAUGUCUAUUAAGCUUCUGUUACGUGCCCAGAGCUGGCUGGGGAGACGUCAGAGAAGCCCGCUGUUUCCUCCUAGAACCCAGGGUCUGGGAGGAAGAGAUGACUGUCCGACAGUUUGCCAACCGUAUGCCCCCCAUCAAGGAAAGAGCCUCGCUGUUCAGGCUUCACUGGUAGAGAUUACAGUUUAAGUUCAGAGGAAGAGCAGCAGGGCCAGACCCAGGCCGCCUGCGGAGUGGACUCCUGCACUCACACUUGGGACUUCAUGGAGGGCAGAACCACGUCCGUCCUUCUCUCCUCUUAGGUCAGUCUCAGUACUCGCCACAGAAUUGGCCCUCGAUUAAUGUGUGUCAAAUGGACUGAACGCACAACUUUCCUUACACAGAGGUGAAAUUUAUAUAAGAAGGCCCAUCACACCAGAGUCCCACUCGCCUCACGGUGGUGCUGUGCCAUCUUCGCUUCUUUCUUGCCCCAGGAUCCCACACCCAUCAGCCCCUCCCCGCCCCAGGGCCUGCCCUCAGCCCCUGCAGACCUGCCUGCUCAGACCCCUCUCCACCACAGAACUGCAGCCUGUGGCCUUGGUGACUCCUGUCUCUCCCUUAGCAUAAUGGCUGAGAAUUCCAUCCACACCUCACAUGUCCCAAGACCUUUCUCUUUUGUGGUGAAUGGGUUACUUUUAAUGACAGCAUAACAGUUAAUUAUGUGCCAACCGUUAAAUUAUGCACAUUUAAAAGUGUUUUGGCUGACACAUUUAUUGACUACUUCUUGUGCAUGUGUGCAAAUUAUUUUAUAGCCUUCUGGGGCCAGUUUCCAUUAAACAUACAUGGUAUUCAUUUAACUAAUAAGCAGCCAACUUGAUCGACUUUGUUUUUAACUGACAAAACUGUAUAAAUUUGCGAUGGACGACAUGUUUUGAAAUGCAUAUACUUUGCGGAAUGACCAAAUCAUUACCUCACAUACCUACUAUCUAUUCAUGGUAGGAAUACUUAAAAAUCGACUCUCUGGAAUUUUCAAGUGUACAAAACUGCUGUCAGCUCUAGUCACCAUAUUGUAUAAUACAUCUCCUGAGCUGACUUUUCCUGUGCAACUGAAUUUGUAUCCUUUAAGCCAACAUCUCCCCAGCUGCCCUACUCCUAGUGUGACCCACCUCCAGCCCCUGAUACCUGCCGUUCC